Molecule: long non-coding RNA, 804 nt
Organism: Musa acuminata AAA Group (dessert banana)
Lineage: Eukaryota; Viridiplantae; Streptophyta; Magnoliopsida; Zingiberales; Musaceae
Exons: 2
Source: RefSeq, a predicted model, not a curated record
GCCUGUCCACUUGCUGACAUUGUUUGCUGCAUCAGCGUUGUUCUGCUGCAGGACUCUCGUCAGGAACAAGACCAAGUUCACGCCAACCCCGAAGAAUGCCAACGUCGCUAAUCCUUGGUUCACUGCAUCGAGGUUACAGAGCUGAACAAAAAGUUUAGGACAAGAUGUCUUUUCCGGGUCAGAAUUCACACACCCACAUGUGGUGCUGUUCAGAUUCCAGAGGCAAAUUCCAAAAUCCUUGUGGGGGGUUGAUGCAAGAUGCAGUUGCAGAUUGUGACAAUGGCAGUGACCCCCCACUCUGAUGUGAUGUUGAUCCUUCCAGUUUGCCAAGUCGACAAGUAAAGCUCAAGCUCAGGAUCCUAGAGAAAGAAUCUACCACACGCAAGCCUACAAGAGAGGUCUUCUUACAUCUGUCUGCCUGUUUGGUGAAAGAAGCCGGUAAAAUAGACAGCUACAAACACCUGAUAAGCAGCAGUGCCUGGCAGGAGUGUGCAUCUACAUCUAAAGAGACCCACUCAACGAUCAGGUGAUCUUUACUGGAUAUUUCUUGUGCUUAUAACAUCAAAAUAGCCAACAUCUGCUUUUGAUUUUGAUCUUGAGAUCACCAACAAAGCAUCAUUAGUGGCAGCAUAAAUAUCUUUGCGCGCAUACUUGGAAUUCUCUCCUCUUUUUUUUUUUUUUUUUUCUUUUCUGUGAUCUAUUAGAACAAGUCUUGAUACAAUGAGAAGGUUGUUUCUUGGUGACAUGAAUGGUCAGAAUUCGAAAAGGGAACCAAAAUAAAAACCAAAGUGUCAAUUAAAUGAA